This 484-nucleotide long non-coding RNA is filed under the name Oryzias javanicus (javanese ricefish). RNAcentral's name for it is "lncRNA (ENSOJAG00000018358.1)". Lineage: Eukaryota; Metazoa; Chordata; Actinopteri; Beloniformes; Adrianichthyidae. The record is from RNAcentral.
CUUCCAUCACAGAGCUUUUGUCCCACGUUCUCAUCAGAAAACUAGACGCUGAACACAUGGGAAGGGGGGGCUGCAGGAGAACCUCAGUGCAGUUAGAAGAGCUUCAAGUCUGGACUCCUCCUCCUUCAUCGUCGUGAGAACAUUCAGAACCCUUCGACGCUGGCUACUCCUCUUCAUCAUGAUGCAGUCCUCCUAUGCCGCGAUUGGACUCCUCCUCCUUCUAGCUGGCUUCACAGCAGCAGGUUCGGAGUCUGACUUGCGGCCUCGAGCGGUGCGUUCGAGUGUCUGUCAAGAACACACAGAUCUUCACAGCCGCCUGGACGCAGUGGAGAAGAGGAUGGAGAGCACAGUGGAGAACCUGGAGGCCGAGCUGGCUGCUCUCCUGGAUGCCAUCCAUGACCCACAGUGGAGCCCCCUGCUGGACAAACCCGGACAGACAGCGGUGGACAUCCUGCAGGACCCAGAGCAGAGGGGCCGGUCCUGA